Molecule: non-coding RNA, 382 nt
Organism: Maylandia zebra (zebra mbuna)
Lineage: Eukaryota; Metazoa; Chordata; Actinopteri; Cichliformes; Cichlidae
Source: RefSeq, a predicted model, not a curated record
UGUGUGUGCAUGGAUCGAGCUGGACAAACUGGAUACAGAGAUCAUCAAGCUCUUGGCCUAUCAGAGGAUCCAGCAGCUCUUUGCUCCCAAAGUGCCCAGCACCCACCCUCCCCCCACCACCAGCACUACCCCAAAAACCUCAGCACCCCACCCAAACAGUCAGAAAAAGGUGCAAGCCAGAGCGGUCUUUUACCCUCUGACAGGAAGAGGAGCAGCUGUCAGCAUGUGCUAUAGGACGUUACACAUAGGAUCAGGCUCUGACAAACUACGGUCACUGCAACUACGUAUCGGGGAAACAUGCCUGUAUUUUCUAUGAUGAGAAUACCAAGCAUUAUGAGCUUCUGAACUAUAGCGAGCAUGGCACCACAGUGGAUAAUGUCCU